RNAcentral lists this unclassified non-coding RNA (171 nucleotides) under soil metagenome. RNAcentral's name for it is "partial internal transcribed spacer 1". The record is from RNAcentral.
CUAGAAUUGCCGAAAGGCUCCUAAACCAUUGUGAACCUAUCCAAGUAGCUCGGGGGGCUCCCUCGCGGGGGACGCACUGCCCCUGCUUUCCCGGAGGUAAGGCAGCCCGCCGGAGGCUACUUAAACUCUGUAUUAUAGUGGCCUCUCUGAGUAAACUUAUUAAUAAGUUCA